RNAcentral lists this ribosomal RNA (449 nucleotides) under uncultured bacterium. Its description in RNAcentral is "partial 16S ribosomal RNA". It matches the Rfam family "Bacterial small subunit ribosomal RNA", at positions 339 to 795 of the family's 1533-position model. The record is from RNAcentral.
CUACGGGUUGCUGCAGUGGGGAAUAUUGCGCAAUGGGCGAAAGCCUGACGCAGCAACGCCGCGUGAGUGAUGAAGGCCUUCGGGUCGUAAAGCUCUGUCGGGAGGGAAGAACACCUUCGGGUCUGACGGUACCUCCCGAGGAAGCACAGGCUAACUCCGUGCCAGCAGCCGCGGUAAUACGGAGUGUGCAAGCGUUGUUCGGAAUUACUGGGCGUAAAGCGCGCGUAGGCGGCUUGAUAAGUCAGAUGUGAAAUCCCUCGGCUUAACCGAGGAACUGCAUUUGAAACUGUCAGGCUUGAGUACGGGAGGGGGAAGCGGAAUUCCCAGUGUAGAGGUGAAAUUCGUAGAUAUUGGGAGGAACACCAGCGGCGAAGGCGGCUUCCUGGACCGAUACUGACGCUGAGGCGCGAAAGCGUGGGGAGCAAACAGGAUUAGAUACCCGAGUAGUC